CCUCAACGGAUGGCGAAGUGGUUUAGUGGCAAUCCGGAGCUGACGUGGCUUUAGCCACGUCAUUUUUAAUUAAAUUUUAAAUGACAUGGAUAUUUAAUGAUAAUUAAAAUAAAAUAAAAAAUAUAAUGCAUAAUUAAAAUAUUAAAGGCUAAAAAGCAUUUUUGGCCCCUGAUGUUUUAAGUUUGUGCAAAUUAUGCCCCUACUCUAUUUUUGUCGACAUUUCUACCCCUCAUGUUUUCAAACAGUGCACCAUCUACCCCUCCCUCAGUCAGGCUUUCUCAGGAGAGGUUCCUGAGUGGAUUGGAGAGAUGAAGAGGAGUAUAUGAAGUUAAUGAUGAUCAAGGAAAUGAUAUAAAUUAAAUUUGCUUGAUAUAUAUAUCAAUUAUGUAUGUAACUAAACUGGUUACACUACAAGGAAAAUAGCAUUUAGGGGCGGAAAUUCUGCGGCGGUUUACCGCCGCAAAGUGUAGGCAGCUCUAGAGGCGGUUAAGCCAAGCGCCCCAGUUUGAGUAUAAUUAGCGGCGGUCUUACUCAACUUGUGGCGGUUUUUAAGAUAUUUGCGGCGGUUAAACCAGAGGCGGUUAAACCAGCCGCCGCAGAAUGGGUUAAAUUUAACAAAAAAAAAUUAAAAAGGUCACGCGAACCAUAACUCAUUUACGCAUCUCACGAUUCACGUUCAACACUCUCAGAACCAAAGAACGAAACCUCCUCUCCUAUUCGUGUUCCUCUCAAUCGAAGAACGAAGGUUUCGUAGUGUGCAGUCAUGGGUUGAAGCCUCCUCUCCUCUUCGCGUUCCUCUCAAUCGAAUCGAAGGUUUCCAUAGCAAAGCUCAGCCAUGGAUUGAAUUGCGAUUUGCCUUUCUUCUCCACCAGAUUUGGAUCGAAGAACUCCAUUUUCUCCGUCUCUCCGUGUUCGCUUCGCCCUUCUUCUUCUACGAUUCGCGAUUUCUGCACACUGGUGCGAAUCUUCCAAUGACAAUCGAAUCAGCUGCUGAUGUGUUCUUGUGGAGGAAUGAGAAGAUAUCUAUCGUGGCUAUGCUUGCAGUUUUGUGUUUGUGAUCCACUACUCAAGCUUUUAUUCACAAGUAAGACUGAAGUCAGUUUGCUUUGGGAUUUUAGUUAUGGUUUCAAUUUCUGCUAGAUUGGAGGGCAUUGGACUGUUGCACUAUAAUUAUUGAAUGAAUGGCUUAAAAUUAACAAGUUCAAAUGAUAAGGAAUGGAGGGAUAAUCAGGUCUCUGAGACUUUAGGAAUGUUUUAAAAUCAAAGUUUUAGUUGUACAGGAAAUGAGUGAAGGGCAGAAAGACUGUUUGAUUGCAUUGUGCGUAUGCAUGUCCCGGGGCCCUGCUCCCACUACUCAAAAUGUCUUGAUCUGCCACUGUAUUGAGAGGAGUGAAUUGUAUAUGGACUGCACUAAUGCAUCUCUGCAAUAAUAUAAAUGUAGCCUUGAUCUUAAGCAUGAGAUGCAUAUAUCUCUGAAUGCAUCUUUUCCAGAGGAAAGCCCAAGGACAAGGGACCUGUGAGUUUGCAGGAACAGCCACUGCUAUUACAUCUGAUCAUUUUCCACUUGUUGUGUGGCAAACUGGCAGUGGCACGCAGAGUAACAUGAAUGCUAUUGAGAUCUGAUCUAAGCCUUUCCUGAGGUUCCAAGGAUAUCAGUUUCACUCACCGUAGCAGUCCCUUGGGUAAGAAAAUGAAUAAGAGAGGGAAGCCAAUAAUUAUUGACCCAAGCCAUUAAGAAAUGCAAUUGAGAGUCUAGAGCUAACUGGUCGCUAGGUUGAGGCUUUGAGCAAGCUCAGGCAUAAAUUAGAAGAUGUGGCAUUCCCGAUUUAUCAAGAACUCUUCAUAUAAUCAUGCUGAUGUGGUUUUUGAAUUGGAUAUUAUGAUGAAAAGAAGACCUAUUUCUUUAAUAGCAUAUUUACUACAAGUUCAACAAUGGGAGUCAAGUAAGUUUUGUAUUUGGGAUUUGUAUCUAAUUCCUUUUGUACAUCAUUUUCUCAAAAUGUUAAAAGCUUACAAACCAUUUUUUUAUAUACUUCCUUUCUUUGUUAUCGUCUUUGUUUGUACGUAGGAUCUCAUGGGUGCUAUUUGAAACCUUAAUUGAUUGGUUUUGUUUCUUA
Lotus japonicus is the source of this 2117-nucleotide long non-coding RNA. RefSeq lists it as uncharacterized. The record is from RefSeq and is a predicted model, not a curated record. The transcript has 5 exons. Lineage: Eukaryota; Viridiplantae; Streptophyta; Magnoliopsida; Fabales; Fabaceae.